Varanus komodoensis (Komodo dragon) is the source of this 1076-nucleotide long non-coding RNA. RefSeq lists it as uncharacterized. The record is from RefSeq and is a predicted model, not a curated record. NCBI's taxonomy places the organism in Eukaryota, Metazoa, Chordata, Lepidosauria, Squamata, Varanidae. The transcript has 5 exons.
UAGCAAUGGAAAUUGAUCUAGAUGCUUUUGAUGAAUCUGGGGUACUUUUAACUAAGAAGUAUUGUAUUGUUUUGGUUUCAGAACAAUGAACAUCCUGUGGUUGUAUGAUAUUUGAACCCUUUUUCACUGAACCACUCCCUGUAAACACAUGCAUGAGAACUAUCCACUCUUCCUGCAGUGUAACUCUACAAUAGCAGCUUGCUAAAAAUGACAACUCAGCGUGCAUCUGUAAAAAGGAACCCUCCCCCACUGGAGCAUCACUGUCAGAGCAACAAAAGCAGCAGAGGUUUCUGUGCCUGCAAUGAAGAACCCUGUGAGGACUGCCCUUCUCCUCUACCUGCAGAUACACUGGCCCAUCUAGUCCAGUAUUCUGUUCACUUUAUGGCCAAUCACUGACCUACAGGAAACCCGUAAGCCGGAGUCUCCUUUUCACAGCAGCUGUGCACCUGAUCAACAUUUUCAGAGAGCUGUCCAAAAUGCUCUUGUAGCACUCUACAGAAUGGGAUCGGUCUGUGUUUCUGUUAAAAAAAUAAAAAGUUCUCACCACCCUUCUGAAUGAUGCUUCAUCUUUGAACAAAUAUACCAUGUGGGGCAGACAGCACUACCAUUCCAGGCUUUGCUGAACAGGUGGUCAGCUCAUUUCUUCGGGAAUAAGAUCCACUGAGCACAUGCGGACAUUCUUCUGAGUAAACAUGCCCAGGUUAUGCUGCACGUCUAUUAGCUCUGAACAAACCGCUUCAUACCAACCAACACAAGCAUGCCUUGAAACAAAAGAAAGUGCAAACUUCUAAGGAUUGCCUUAAAGUUCAUUAGCUGUUACAAGAAAAAUCCCUAAGUGGUUUAGCGAAGCUGCAAAGCUGCAAAGGUGAGCCAUCUUUAGGACUUCUGCUGAACCUGUCUUUGAAGUAGCAACAACUCUGACAAAUGCAAUUGCUUACAAAUGUGGAAAUUAUGAGUGCAGGGAACUUGCAGGGAGAUGAAAUAUGGCAUUGCUCAUGGUAGAAGCUGUGGCAAUGAAUGAGAAUAUAGCCAGACUUUGUGGGUAGAUACAGAGGGAAAAAUAAUGUGCAAAUUUU